Long non-coding RNA from Nasonia vitripennis (jewel wasp), 912 nucleotides. RefSeq lists it as uncharacterized. The transcript is spliced from 3 exons. The record is from RefSeq and is a predicted model, not a curated record. NCBI's taxonomy places the organism in Eukaryota, Metazoa, Arthropoda, Insecta, Hymenoptera, Pteromalidae.
UGAGGUCAGCGAGAGAAGAGUCCUCGCCAUGGAGCAGACGACAGCAGCCUUCCAGCAGAUACUAUACAUUCCAUAUAGCAAUACGAAAACUUCACCGAAAGCGUAACAGACAUUAACGGCCACAUAGCAACGAUAGCCGCGAGAGACCAAAAAUCUUGAGUCCCCGAAAAUUCAUGGUUUACUACGCACCGAAUAAAAGUCUCUAGACAUUAUAAUAUAACUCAUAUUAGGAGCAACAGUUCGCGAUUUAACCUAGCUUUGACUUUCCGUCACUAUCGGUUUGUUUUCGAGAACAUCAUAACAUCCAUAAAGGUGAAUGUGUGACUUUCAGUCAGGAAUACUCUUAUAAACUAUGAAGAAAUAUUUGGUCAUUUAGUUUUCGACCGUGCUUAUGAUCGCACUUUACCUUGCAAUAUACUCAUUGAUAAUAUAUGCUUAAUUUUCCGAGCAAUGUUUGUUAUUUGUGCAAAUAUUGUGUAAGAAACAUCGAAAUAUUAUAACUCACCAAGAAAGCAAACUAUCAGUUUAUUAAAGCAAUAUUCUCAAAAAUGCUGCCAAGUUUUCUGGAAAAUGUGUAGUGUGCCGCUGACAAGACGUGAAUUAUUCACAAUUCAAGUUCAAAUGAUUUCUGCAAUUAAAGAAGAAGUACAAAAUUAUGCAACUGUUGGCGUGCAUGUUGGAGAAAUAAAAGGACAGAGGGCAAUCGAACUUUUUGUGAAGAUCACAAAAAACUUUUGGUCAAAGAGAAUUAUACAAAUUUUCAAUGUCGAGUGGAAUUAAUGCGAAUUUACGUCAGAUUAAAUAUUGGUUCAUCGAGACACAAAAAUUAUUAAAAAUUUCACCUUAUAUGGUAAAUGAAGGACAACGCAUGUUCUUUAAAAAAAUGCAAACACUGCCUAUCUUCGAGUUUGA